RNAcentral lists this long non-coding RNA (1316 nucleotides) under Sinocyclocheilus grahami. Its description in RNAcentral is "lncRNA (ENSSGRG00000000596.1)". Lineage: Eukaryota; Metazoa; Chordata; Actinopteri; Cypriniformes; Cyprinidae. The record is from RNAcentral.
UGAAAUGCGGCUGCGAGUGCGCAUGCCCGGAAGUGCGUUUAGCUUCACUAGAAACUGUUCCUGCUGCAUUUCACCGAUAAAUGUGUUUAUUUAAUUAGUCGAUCACAUCAACAGGCUCCUUCACGGAUUCCAGGUGCUUUACAGACGGACAGUCUGUUGUUGUUGUCAGGAUGGUGUGAUGAUGAUGAUGAUGAUGAAGAUGUUGUUGUCAGGAUGGUGUGAUGAUGAUGAUGAUGAUGAAGAUGUUGUCAGGAUGGUGUGAUGAUGAUGAUGAUGAAGAUGUUGUUGUCAGGAUGGUGUGAUGAUGAUGAUGAUGAUGAAGAUGUUGUUGUCAGGAUGGUGUGAUGAUGAUGAUGAUGAUGAAGAUGUUGUCUGUAGGUGUCAGGAUGGUGUGAUGAUGAUGAUGAUGAUGAAGAUGUUGUCAGGAUGGUGUGAUGAUGAUGAUGAUGAUGAAGAUGUUGUUGUCAGGAUGAUGAUGAUGAUGAUGAAGAUGUUGUUGUCUGUAGGUGUCAGGAUGGUGUGUGAGCUGCUGCUCUCCUCGGUCUGGUUCCUGUUCCUCAUCUUCUGGCUGGAGACCAUCAGUGUUUGGCUCUUCCUGUGUCUGUACUAUCAGGAUCGGGUUUUCUAUCACUGGGGUUCAGGUGAGUCUGCAGAUGAUCCAGAUCAGUUCCUCUACGUGUUGAGCAGGUGAGCUUUAUUUCUGCUUCUGAUACAGAAAGAUAAAGAAAACGGCUGCUGUCUCACCUGAUUCAGUUCUGUCAGUGUGCUCUUGUCACACAAACAAAUACUGCAGAAUCAAGCUCAUCUUCUCCCACAGAAUUGACCUUUCUGCGCACAUGCAGACGUGAGGAAGUGAUGUCAUCGCUCGAGUGUGAGGUCACAUGAAGGGACGCGAGGAGGGUCAGAGGUCAGCGGAUGCUCGUGACGUCAGAGAGCCUGUGAUGGGCGGUUUCUACAGACGGACAGAGUCGAGAGGUUCACAUUAAACAUGAGCAGUGUUUGCAGGAGCAUGAAAUGUUGUAGUCUUGAGGUUUUAGGUUCCUUCACAUGAUCAGUGACGAAGCGUAAUGUCUUUAAAACGGUUACCUGUGUGAACAUGACUGACUGAGUUUAACCGGUUCAUCUCUUUAACUAGCUGGCAUUUCAUUUUAUAAAACUUCAGCAUCUCCGGAUGAACUUUGAUCUAAUUAUUGUUCUUUCUAUUUUGGUACCAGUGUGUCUUUUUUACCCAAUAAUACAAAUAAAGCCGUUUUAACAGAGUUUUCAGAGGUUUCUUUUCUACACUGAACAAAACCGAGCGCAGAUCUCUCCAGCCA